GUCACACAUCACUGUUUCCGGGGCCGGGACCUUGGGCGGGCUUCCUGACCCGGCGUCUUUCACAUGGGUGUUGAUCUUACAAAAGCUAUAACAUCAGAAUGGGAUGGGAGCCAAGCUGGAUGCACAGUGACUGACAGCACACCAAGCCGUGGAAUUCUGUGGUUGAUAGGAUCUUCAGCCACCAUCAGCAUCAUGUAAAACAAGGUUCCCUCUUUUGGAGACAUUCAUUAGUGGCACAGCUCAGUUAAUCGGUGGGCUUGGCAUUGUUGGAGUUGCAGCAUUAAUGAUGUGCGUUUGGGAGCAGGACUGGAGUGCUGAGAUUAGGACUCUCCAAGAAAGGGACAGUGUGCUGAAGUAAAGUCGAUCUCCACAGAUGGAAUUUCCAGCUUUAGGAAGUAACCCCAGGGCCGGCUCUGCCAUUAGGCAGCUAUAGGUGUUCAUUAUAUCAAGUGAACAUUAGUUCAACACACCACAUCAUUACCAAUAUUGAUAACUUUAAUGAUGGUCUGUUACCAAUUAUCACUGCUGAUUAAACUGAGAACUGGUGUGAUCAUUUGGGUGAACAAAUCAGCAUUUUUCAGCGUUAUCUGAUUGUCUGUAAACGUAAAAAAUUGAAUACUGUGAAUUACGAUUAUUCUAAUAAUUUGGUGUAAAAGUAGAUUAAGGGUGAUUCAAAUUCUUAUCACGUUAGACGUCCACAACGCCAAUAUUAUCGUACCUCACGUACCUUUGACUCCUCCUCCUCGCAGUGGGAUCCCUGAGAGGUGCUUCUUUAGACAGAGUGACUAGAUCAACUGGCAGUAGGGGCAGAGGAAGAGGUGCAGAUACCCUAUGAGGAGAGGAGGGUACAAAAAGAAAGGGUCGGGGCAGCAGAUUUUAGACACAGUGUUCAACUUGUCCAGUUAUAAACUUUCCGGGUCUGAACUUGAAGUGUUGUCUUUGGGUUUUUUCCCUUAAUAGAUUUCAGUGGUCUAUUGGGGAGGAGAUUAAGAUUGAGAGCAUUCUUUGGAAGUGCUGCGGCUCUUCCGGUUGAUUUACCACUUAGAUCACAUAGUAUAUUUGAUUUGCAAAGCUCAGUAUUAACAUCUUCCCCAGGAUUUCUUAGAAGGAUAUGGCAAUAAC
This is a long non-coding RNA of Pseudophryne corroboree (corroboree frog), 1122 nucleotides long. RefSeq lists it as uncharacterized. The record is from RefSeq and is a predicted model, not a curated record. The transcript is spliced from 3 exons. NCBI's taxonomy places the organism in Eukaryota, Metazoa, Chordata, Amphibia, Anura, Myobatrachidae.